AAGAUACUCUCUCCGUCCGAAAAUACUUGUCAUCAAAAUGGAUGAAAAGGGAUGUAUCUAGAACUAAAAUGCAUCUAGAUGCAUCUCUUUUUAUCCAUUUUGAUGACAAGUAUUUUCGAACGAAGGGAGUAUUGU
Molecule: non-coding RNA, 135 nt
Organism: Triticum aestivum (bread wheat)
Lineage: Eukaryota; Viridiplantae; Streptophyta; Magnoliopsida; Poales; Poaceae
Source: Rfam